GGGCGCGUAGUUCAUUGGUAGAACGCUUCUCUUAUAAAGAAGAGGUAGAAGGUUCGAUCCCUUCCGCGCCCACCA
This 75-nucleotide transfer RNA is filed under the name Patescibacteria group bacterium. Its description in RNAcentral is "tRNA-Ile". It matches the Rfam family "tRNA". Rfam says of the family: Transfer RNA (tRNA) molecules are approximately 80 nucleotides in length. Their secondary structure includes four short double-helical elements and three loops (D, anti-codon, and T loops). The record is from RNAcentral.